AUGAUUCAGGAGAAAGAUGGCACAAAGGAAAUCACCGCCAGCGAUGACAGUCUGUCGGAGGGGAAUGCUGCCAAGGAGACACACAUCUUUGGCGGUAUCUUUAAGAAGCCCCAGAAGCCAACGCAAGAGGACAGCUCAGAUAAAGAGGGGUCCAACCAGCAGGAAGAAGAAAAAUCAUCUAGCUGUGAAAAUCUCUCUGAGACCACUAAUCAAAAGGAGAAGAAAGGAGGUCUUUCCGGUUUAUUCAAAAGGUCCGCCAGCAUCGACAACCUGAAUGACAAUGAAGUGAGUAUGAGUCUAUUACCCAGUGUUCAUCGUUACCUAUUAUCCUCUUUACUUUGUUGUCUUUUAUUUACUAUGAAACACAAGCUCAGAUGUUUUUCUACUUCUCACACCCUAUUUUACAAGUACACUAACCUAGUCUGCAAGUGCGAGACUCUUGCAACACCUCCGUAUACAGGCUCUCGUUGUCAUUGUACACUGUGUUUACAUGUCUUCCAGGAGAAAAGUAUUUUCAGUGGCAUUUUUAAGAAGCCAGCAAAAGCCUUGGAAGGGUCUACAGCUGACGAGGUAUGCAGUCUUAUCUUUAACUUCACAGUGAGAAUCUCACUUCACACUGGGUGUGUGUGUGUGUGUGUGUGUGUGUGUGUGUGUGUGUGUGUGUGUGUGUGUGUGUGUGUGUGUGUGUGUGUGUGUGUGUGUGUGUGUGUGUGUGUGUGUGUGUGUGUGUGUGUGUGUGUGUAAAAUCGAUACCAGCUUUAAUUCUCUCUGUUGUGUGCAGGAUAUUGAAGGAAGAUUAUCCAUCAGUGGUGAUGAACUUUCAGAAACGGCCAAGGUACCUUCCUAUAAUCACAAACUUUUGGGUUUGCGUUUGACUCGAUGGUUAAUCUUUUUUAUAAUAUGUAUUUAAUACUCACACGAUAUGUUGCAGGAGAAAACGGGCGGGAUCUCUGGCAUGUUCAAACGCUCCCCCAAACCAGCUCCACGUUCCCUGGUCGCCAAGGUGAUAAUAACCAUAGCUUCACUCUACGCUGGCCUCUUCAUUUGGUCACCUGACAUUAGAAACACAAAGGGGAAGUCUGACUUUUGCCGGUUUGAACACGAUUUAUCUUCCGACAUGCCGCUUUUUAAAACCCUUACUGCGUGAUGUGAACCAAAUAACGCAGACGUGCACGUUCUUUUUACAUCCAGUCCCUCCCGCCCACCAGUGUAUGUUGUACCUCCUGGCACUUACGUUGUAUUUAUUCAUAGUACUUAAUUGUGUAGCAUCUGCAGUAGUGAUUGUUAGUACUUGUACUUGGUUCUAUGAACAUCCUUACUGUACCGACAGCGAUAUAUUGUUUCACUUCUUAUGACAAAUGUACUUAUUGUAAGUGGCUUUGGAUAAAAGCGUCUGCUAAAGGCCCUAAAUGUAAAUGUUUUACAGGACCCGCUCCAAGACACAAAUGAACUUGGCGAGAGUGACGAUGAAAGUCUGGCAGUGAAGGUGAGCCCUACCUGCCGACGGACGCCGCCCCGGCCUGCGGGGGCCUCAAGCGGGUGUAGCUCAACGGGUCACAAUCCACCAACGAGUGUCUUUCUCUUCAUUUCAUAGGAUACGAAGACUUUACUGUCCGCCAGCAAUGACAGUCUGAACGAGGUUUCCACCACAAAAGUAAGCCUUGAGUCACUUAAUAUGAACCCUUUUUUAAUGUAUUAUUUUUUAGCAAAAUCUUUCUCACAAAUGUAUAUUGUAUGUUUUAAUAUUUCCUUGUUGUGUGUGUGUGUGUGUGUGUGUGUGUGUGUGUGUGUGUGUGUGUGUGUGUGUGUGUGUGUGUGUGUGUGUGUGUGUGUGUGUGUGUGUGUGUGUGUGUGUGUGUGUGUGUGUGUGUGUGUGUGUGUGCGCUACCUUUUACUCAGGAGAGGAUGAGAGCUUUUGGUGGGAUGUUCAAGAAGGCCCCAAAAGCAGUGGAACAACUGGUAGGCACACACACACCCUUGGCAUGUCCCCCAUAAAGAAACACGUUAAAGUCUUAUCAUG
Long non-coding RNA from Gadus morhua (Atlantic cod), 2020 nucleotides. The record is from Ensembl. NCBI's taxonomy places the organism in Eukaryota, Metazoa, Chordata, Actinopteri, Gadiformes, Gadidae.